GAUGAACGCUGGCGGCGUGCCUAAUACAUGCAAGUCGAGCGAACGGACGAGAAGCUUGCUUCUCUGAUGUUAGCGGCGGACGGGUGAGUAACACGUGGAUAACCUACCUAUAAGACUGGGAUAAAUUCGGGAAACCGGAGCUAAUACCGGAUAAUAUUUUGAACCGCAUGGUUCAAAAGUGAAAGACGGUCUUGCUGUCACUUAUAGAUGGAUCCGCGCUGCAUUAGCUAGGUGGUAAGGUAACGGCUUACCAAGGCAACGAUGCAUAGCCGACCUGAGAGGGUGGUCGGCCACACUGGAACUGAGACACGGUCCAGACUCCUACGGGAGGCAGCAGUAGGGAAUCUUCCGCAAUGGGCGAAAGCCUGACGGAGCAACGCCGCGUGAGUGAUGAAGGUCUUCUGAUCGUAAAACUCUGUUAUUAGGGAAGAACAUAUGUGUAAGUAACUGUGCACAUCUUGACGGUACCUAAUCAGAAAGCCACGGCUAACUACGUG
RNAcentral lists this ribosomal RNA (497 nucleotides) under uncultured bacterium. Its description in RNAcentral is "partial 16S ribosomal RNA". It matches the Rfam family "Bacterial small subunit ribosomal RNA", at positions 28 to 507 of the family's 1533-position model. The record is from RNAcentral.